Triticum aestivum (bread wheat) is the source of this 126-nucleotide non-coding RNA. The record is from Rfam. NCBI's taxonomy places the organism in Eukaryota, Viridiplantae, Streptophyta, Magnoliopsida, Poales, Poaceae.
UGCAUACUCACUCUGUCCGAAAAAGUUUGUUUCUCAAAUGGAUGUAUCUAGAACGAAAUUAGUGCUAGAUACAUCCAUUUGAGAGACAAGCUUGGGACAAGAUUUUUCGGACGGAGGGAGUAUCAA